RNAcentral lists this ribosomal RNA (456 nucleotides) under uncultured bacterium. RNAcentral describes it as "bacterial SSU rRNA". It matches the Rfam family "Bacterial small subunit ribosomal RNA", at positions 340 to 789 of the family's 1533-position model. The record is from RNAcentral.
UACGGGAGGCAGCGGGGGGGAAUAUUGCACAAUGGGCGCAAGCCUGAUGCAGCCAUGCCGCGUGUAUGAAGAAGGCCUUCGGGUUGUAAAGUACUUUCAGUCGUGAGGAAGGUGUUAAGGUUAAUAACCUUAGCAAUUGACGUUAGCGACAGAAGAAGCACCGGCUAACUCCGUGCCAGCAGCCGCGGUAAUACGGAGGGUGCGAGCGUUAAUCGGAAUUACUGGGCGUAAAGGGCACGCAGGCGGUUAAUUAAGUUGGAUGUGAAAUCCCCGGGCUUAACCUGGGAAUGGCAUUCAAGACUGGUUAGCUAGAGUCUUGUAGAGGGGGUUAGAAUUCCAUGUGUAGCGGUGAAAUGCGUAGAGAUGUGAGGAAUACCGGUGGCGAAGGCGGCCCCUGGACAAAGACUGACGCUCAUGUGCGAAAGCGUGGGGAGCAAACAGGGAUUAGAUACCCGU